CAGCCACCUUUUGAAACGCGUCAAAGCGUAACUUUAACACCCAAAAUACCAUUAAUUUUUAUGAACCCCUAAUUUAUAAUGAAUGACUCCAUAUUUAUAUGGAAGACACCAUGCUAGGAUUAGUAACAAGAAUUUAUAAUUCUCCAAAAUGCAAAUAUAAACCAACAUGGAUAGACCAUUGGUAGUUACCGAACCUAAAUUUAAUGCAAUAACAUCCACAAGAAAACUCUGCAGCACUCACUCGUUAACCUAACACCAGCGCAUUACAGGAAAGAUUCAAAAAAAGAGAAGGAAUUCGGCAAAUGACGGCCCCGCCUGUUUACCAAAAACAUCGCCUCUUGACUUAUAAUAAGAGGUCUAGCCUGCCCAGUGAAUUUUAAACGGCCGCGGUAUCCUAACCGCGCGAAGGUAGCAUAAUCACUUGUUCUUUAAAUGGGGACUCGUAUCAACGGCAUCACGAGGGUUUUACUGUCUCCUCUUUUUGAUCAGUGAAAUUGAUCUUCCCGUGAAGAAGCGGGAAUAUUUUUAUAAGACGAGAAGACCCCAUGGAGCUUUAAACCAAAUAACAACUUAACCACUUAUCCCAUAAUAAAUUUAACCCCUGUUAUAAGGUUUUUGGUUGGGGUGACCGCGGAGUAAAGCACAUCCUCCACGACGGAAAGAAUAAAAUCUUUAUUUAAGAACCACACUUCUAGAAAUUAGUAUACUAACGUUUACUGACCCGACAAUCGAUCAACGGACCAAGUUACCCUGGGGAUAACAGCGCAAUCUACUUCGAGAGCUCAUAUCGACAAGUAGGCUUACGACCUCGAUGUUGGAUCAGGGUAUCCCGGUGGUGCAGCCGCUACCGAAGGUUCGUUUGUUCAACGAUUAAAACCCUACGUGAUCUG
RNAcentral lists this ribosomal RNA (890 nucleotides) under Polypedates leucomystax (Java whipping frog). Its description in RNAcentral is "partial 16S ribosomal RNA". It matches the Rfam family "Bacterial large subunit ribosomal RNA", at positions 1216 to 2607 of the family's 2925-position model. Lineage: Eukaryota; Metazoa; Chordata; Amphibia; Anura; Rhacophoridae. The record is from RNAcentral.